This 253-nucleotide ribosomal RNA is filed under the name uncultured bacterium. RNAcentral describes it as "partial 16S ribosomal RNA". It matches the Rfam family "Bacterial small subunit ribosomal RNA", at positions 524 to 776 of the family's 1533-position model. The record is from RNAcentral.
UACGUAGGGUGCGAGCGUUAAUCGGAAUUACUGGGCGUAAAGCGUGCGCAGGCGGUUUUGUAAGUCAGAUGUGAAAGCCCCGGGCUUAACCUGGGAAUGGCAUUUGGGACUGCAAGGCUUGAGUGCGGCAGAGGAGACUGGAAUUCCUGGUGUAGCAGUGAAAUGCGUAGAUAUCAGGAGGAACACCGAUGGCGAAGGCAGGUCUCUGGGCUGACACUGACGCUCAUGCACGAAAGCGUGGGGAGCAAACAGG